UGGGGAAUAUUGGACAAUGGGCGCAAGCCUGCUCCAGCCAUGCCGCGUGAGUGAUGAAGGCCCUAGGGUUGUAAAGCUCUUUCACCGGUGAAGAUAAUGACGGUAACCGGAGAAGAAGCCCCGGCUAACUUCGUGCCAGCAGCCGCGGUAAUACGAAGGGGGCUAGCGUUGUUCGGAUUUACUGGGCGUAAAGCGCACGUAGGCGGACUUUUAAGUCAGGGGUGAAAUCCCGGGGCUCAACCCCGGAACUGCCUUUGAUACUGGAAGUCUUGAGUAUGGUAGAGGUGAGUGGAAUUCCGAGUGUAGAGGUGAAAUUCGUAGAUAAUCGGAGGAACACCAGUGGCGAAGGCGGCUCACUGGACCAAUACUGACGCUGAGGUGCGAAAGCGUGGGGAGCAAACAGG
This 404-nucleotide ribosomal RNA is filed under the name Actinomycetes bacterium. RNAcentral describes it as "Actinobacteria bacterium partial 16S ribosomal RNA". It matches the Rfam family "Bacterial small subunit ribosomal RNA", at positions 355 to 776 of the family's 1533-position model. The record is from RNAcentral. Lineage: Bacteria; Bacillati; Actinomycetota; Actinomycetes.